RNAcentral lists this transfer RNA (70 nucleotides) under Rattus norvegicus (Norway rat). It matches the Rfam family "tRNA". From Rfam's summary of the family: Transfer RNA (tRNA) molecules are approximately 80 nucleotides in length. Lineage: Eukaryota; Metazoa; Chordata; Mammalia; Rodentia; Muridae. The record is from Rfam by way of RNAcentral.
GGGGAUUUAGCUCAGUGGUAGAGCGCUUGCCUAGCAAGCACAAGGCCCUGGGUUCGGGUUCCCAGCUCCG